AACGCGAAGAACCUUACCUGUGCUUGACAUGUUCCCGACAGCCCCAGAGAUGGGGCCUCCCUUCGGGGCGGGUUCACAGGUGGUGCAUGGUCGUCGUCAGCUCGUGUCGUGAGAUGUUGGGUUAAGUCCCGCAACGAGCGCAACCCUCGCCCUGUGUUGCCAGCACGUCGUGGUGGGAACUCACGGGGGACCGCCGGGGUCAACUCGGAGGAAGGUGGGGAUGACGUCAGAUCAUCAUGCCCCUUACGUCCAGGGCUUCACCCAUGCUACAAUGGCCGGUACAACGGGAUGCGACCUCGUGAGGGGGAGCGGAUCCCUUAAAACCGGUCUCAGUUCGGAUUGGAGUCUGCAACCCGACUCCAUGAAGGCGGAGUCGCUAGUAAUCGCGGAUCAGCAACGCCGCGGUGAAUGCGUUCCCGGGUCUUGUACACACCG
This 435-nucleotide ribosomal RNA is filed under the name uncultured bacterium. RNAcentral describes it as "bacterial SSU rRNA". It matches the Rfam family "Bacterial small subunit ribosomal RNA", at positions 958 to 1392 of the family's 1533-position model. The record is from RNAcentral.